This 1097-nucleotide long non-coding RNA is filed under the name Chrysemys picta bellii (western painted turtle). Its description in RNAcentral is "lncRNA (ENSCPBG00000018627.1)". The record is from RNAcentral. Lineage: Eukaryota; Metazoa; Chordata; Testudines; Emydidae.
CAACAACACAGGAAGAACGAGUCCACAUGGACUCCUCCUGAGGGUCGAAAUGACAGUCUGGACCUAUACAUAGAAUGCUUCCACCGAUGUGCACAAGCAGAAAUUGUGGAAAAACAACAUCGCCUGCCUCAUAACCUAAGUUGUACAGAACGCAAUGCCAUCCACUGCCUCAGAAACAACCCUGACAUUGUAAUCAAAGAGGCUGAUAAAGGAGGUGCUGUUGUCAUCAUGAACAGGUCUGACUCCCAGACGGAGGCUGCCAGACAACUCUCCAAUACCAAAUUCUACAGGCCACUUUCCUCAGAUCCCACUGAGGAAUACACUAAGAAACUGCACCAUCUACUCAGGACACUCCCUACACUAACACAGGAACAAUUUAACAUACCCUUGGAGCCCCGACCGGGGUUAUUCUAUCUACUACCCAAGAUCCACAAACCUGGACGCCCCAUCAUCUCUGGAAUUGGCACUCUCACUGAAGGACUAUCCGGAUAUGUAGACUCUCUGCUCAGACCCUAUGCCACCAGCACUCCCAGCUAUCUCCGUGACACCACUGAUUUCCUGAGAAAACUACAAUGCAUUGGUGAUCUCCCAGAAAACACCAUCCUAGCCACCAUGGAUGUGGAGGCUCUCUACACAAACAUCCCACACACAGAUGGAAUACAAGCUGUCAGGAACAGUAUCCCUGAUGAUGACACAGCACAACUUGUUGCUGAGCUCUGUGACUUUAUCCUCACGCACAACUAUUUCAAAUUUGGUGACAAUAUAUAUCUCCAGACCAGUGGCACCGCUAUGGGCACCCGCAUGGCCCCACAAUAUGCCAACAUUUUUAUGGCUGACCUGGAACAACGCUUCCUCAGCUCUCGUCCACUCACGCCCCUCCUCUACCUAUGCUACAUUGACAACAACAUCAUCAUCUGGACCCAUGGGAAGGAGACUCUGGAAGAAUUCCACCACGAUUUCAACAGCUUCCACCCCACCAUCAACCUCAGCCUGGACCAAUCUACACGGGAGGUCCACUUCCUAGACACCACAGUACAAAUAAGCGAUGGCCACGUUAAUACCACCCUAUACCGAAAACCCACCAACCGCUAUGCCUA